UCACCAUCAGCACCAUCACCAAGUCACCUUUAAAAGAUCCCAAACAUGAACAGGACUGCAGAGGGUGAAGCCAUCAUAACUGACAUGCUUUGUUCCCAUCCUCUCUUUCAGUUUGGGAAUGAUUGAUACUUUUAUGGUUUUAUGGUUUCUUAUUCUGUGUGAUUUCUUUGCCACAAUGCCUUCUUGGUAUGUUCUACAUGACCUGAUAAAACUGACCCACUGUGGCUGCUGCUGACACAUUUACAUAUUCUGAUUCUACUGUUGUUUUACAAGCACGGAUUUGGAGGGGGAAACAGUCACACGCCUGUCCCACGCAGACGAAAGGCCUCCAUCUUUAGUUGAAUCUUAUUGAUUAUUGUAUGCGUGAUGGUGGUAUUUGAAGUUCCCUAUAUCAGAAUAUUCAGUUCUGUGUCCCUAACAGAUUUUUUUUGUUUCCUUUCCUGGGUGAAUUUGACGGUUCUGAGGAUGAUGUAAUUUGGUAGAUGUGUCAGAAUAGAAAAUGUCAUGGUCGAUUAACACCAAGUGAUGCUUUGCCCCGACAUCAGCUAAUUGCAAAGUUCAUAGGCGAUGUCUCUACCCCCAGGUCAAGUUGGGGACUGUAACGAUAAUGUCAAGGCUUUGUCUGUUUGUAACAUAAUCCACCUGUAAUGGAUGAGGCAUAUCAUUGUUUCAUCUGCUUUCUCAUCCAUUUGCUCUCCUUUCUGGUCAAUAGUUGCAAAAGAGGGUGUGAGUGCGAUUCUGGGGUGGGUGGGUUGAAUUGGGAACUUUUUUCAACCCUAGACAUCUACAGUAGGUCAUGAGUGGAGCUAAUUGCUCAUCUCUUCUGCGUGUCAUUCCCAAAAUGUCAAGUCCUUGGUCCCUGGUCUCUAACUAAAAGUUGUGUUGGUGACCAUUGUUUAGUAAUGCUCCAUCACCAGUGAACUUCAGCUUUGUUGUGCAUCGUGUGUUUUCUGAAUGAAUUUUGGGCCUCAAUAUGAACCAACAGUUCUUUCUUUGUGUGUUCUAUCCCAGAUAAAGAGUUGCAUGUAGGCUGGUCCCAGAUCUGUUUGUGUGGUUUGGCCAACACCUAUGGCCAUUGUAAAUGUUGGAAAUACAGCACAGACAUCUGGGGCCAGGCUAGAUUACAUGCGUUGCCCCAGGCAUUGUUAGUUUGAAGUUGAUGUAUAUGCUAUUAGUACAUGAUCAUUGUCCCAAUCUGUACUCUCUCUAUGCAAAUCACCCACAGACAGUCCAACUAACUGGUCAUCUGGAACCUGAUGUACCCAGCCAUCCCCCAACCUUACAACCCUCAUGUUCAACCAACCUUCCAGCCAAGUCCACAUUUUAUUACACACCACCACCAUUUUAUCCUGUUUUCUACCAGUAUAUUUGAGGGGGUGAAAACAUGGGAUCUUCCACUUUAUCUGGGCACUGAUUUAGCUAAAUAGAUUAUAAAUGAUAGUCAUUAAACAAAGCGCUUGGCCAGUGUAGAAGAUUGUACAGUCCGCCUGGUGUUUCCCAUGCUUUCCCCGUCAUCCCUGCGUAGACUUGGCCUUCACAAACCAUCCUGAUCUGAUCGGCUCCAUGGAAACAGAAUGCACGCUUGUGACAUCAGGAUGAUUCGUACGAGGCCAGUAUAGUUCCAGUCACCCAUUGACUUUCAUUCUAGAGAUGUCAGCUUAAACAGUAUAGUUAAUUGAUAAUGUUAAAUAAUUUAAAGAAACUUUUCACAAAUCUUUAAUGUUUUAUAAAAAAAAUACAGAUACAAUCUGUAUUUGGAUUGGUGGGGGAUUGUGAAAGUUAAAAUAAUUUCUUGCAGAUGGAUGUUCAUAUGUGCGUGUUUCAUACGAUGACACCUUGUUACUGUAGUGUCAUACAGUAUGAGAGCGGCGUCAUCACCAGUUCCAUUGAAUGUGUUUCAUGUUGACUGUGAAAUGAGCUUUGGGACAUGUUCGAUGCUCAAGGAAACUGACAGGAAGACGUUAUACUGGUGUGACUGAUCCACGUCAUAUUUGCAUUGAUGGUUCUAUAUUUUGCACCGCCUUUUCAGACCAAGGAGAGACAUUUCAUAAUGAAACGUGACUCUUACCCAAAUGGAUCAUGUAAUUAGCUCUACAGGUGCAAUAAAGUUGUGACUUUG
Molecule: long non-coding RNA, 2119 nt
Organism: Oncorhynchus masou masou (cherry salmon)
Lineage: Eukaryota; Metazoa; Chordata; Actinopteri; Salmoniformes; Salmonidae
Exons: 2
Source: RefSeq, a predicted model, not a curated record